UAAAAAGAAAUAAUCUCAAGCUUUCCCGUUUAGAAGUGAAAUCCCUGGCUUUUCAUAAAUGGCUCGCUUUCCCUCACAGCACUAGAGCGAGUCCUCCUGAAGAAAAAACGACUUCGAAGUAUAAGUAAGAGCGAAGGGUGUGAGACAGAGGUUUGGGGCGUCCUAGGGGGCAACUUGGCCUGAGAAGUCUUAUCGCGAGGGGCCUUUCUCCAUCAAAAAGACAGAAAGCCCAUGUCCUCUGCCCAGCGCUGGAGCCCCGCUCAGGUUUACAGAUGCGGCGUGCGGGAGAGGAGUGGGCGGCCCACAACGAGUGUGGACGAGAAGGAGCUGGCCUCGAGAGCCUUUUCACUUCUUUAAAAAGAAAAGAAAGAAAAAGCUUCUGAGCGCAAACUUCGAAAAGUCAGGCACCAAAGUCGCGCAGAAAGGUGUCUAUCACUGCGAACGUGGUCCGGCCAUCAAAUGGGUAGCGCCUGUUCCCGACCUUUGCCCUCAAGGUUUCCUGCGCCUCCAGGACAAGCGACCUCCAGAGGAAGGACCUGUACUUAGCGUCCGCCAUUCUGUUUUCCCGGCGUCACCGUCGAAGAGUUAGAUACUCCUCACUAGAAAGGGAGACGAAGUGUCGUUGGCACCGAUUUCAGGUACGUGGAAACCGCCCUUCUCUGGGCGCAAACCUCACCAUGUCACCAGUCAAUGGAAUUACGCUCCGUUUAU
This 711-nucleotide long non-coding RNA is filed under the name Bos grunniens (domestic yak). Its description in RNAcentral is "lncRNA (ENSBGRG00000014996.1)". The record is from RNAcentral. Lineage: Eukaryota; Metazoa; Chordata; Mammalia; Artiodactyla; Bovidae.